This 1109-nucleotide ribosomal RNA is filed under the name Cronobacter sakazakii. RNAcentral describes it as "bacterial SSU rRNA". It matches the Rfam family "Bacterial small subunit ribosomal RNA", at positions 53 to 1153 of the family's 1533-position model. The record is from RNAcentral. Lineage: Bacteria; Pseudomonadati; Pseudomonadota; Gammaproteobacteria; Enterobacterales; Enterobacteriaceae.
ACAUGCAAGUCGAGCGGUAGCACAGAGAGCUUGCUCUCGGGUGACGAGCGGCGGACGGGUGAGUAAUGUCUGGGAAACUGCCUGAUGGAGGGGGAUAACUACUGGAAACGGUAGCUAAUACCGCAUAACGUCUUCGGACCAAAGUGGGGGACCUUCGGGCCUCAUGCCAUCAGAUGUGCCCAGAUGGGAUUAGCUAGUAGGUGGGGUAAAGGCUCACCUAGGCGACGAUCCCUAGCUGGUCUGAGAGGAUGACCAGCCACACUGGAACUGAGACACGGUCCAGACUCCUACGGGAGGCAGCAGUGGGGAAUAUUGCACAAUGGGCGCAAGCCUGAUGCAGCCAUGCCGCGUGUAUGAAGAAGGCCUUCGGGUUGUAAAGUACUUUCAGCGAGGAGGAAGGUGUUGUGGUUAAUAACCGCAGCAAUUGACGUUACUCGCAGAAGAAGCACCGGCUAACUCCGUGCCAGCAGCCGCGGUAAUACGGAGGGUGCAAGCGUUAAUCGGAAUUACUGGGCGUAAAGCGCACGCAGGCGGUUUGUUAAGUCAGAUGUGAAAUCCCCGGGCUCAACCUGGGAACUGCAUUUGAAACUGGCAAGCUUGAGUCUCGUAGAGGGGGGUAGAAUUCCAGGUGUAGCGGUGAAAUGCGUAGAGAUCUGGAGGAAUACCGGUGGCGAAGGCGGCCCCCUGGACGAAGACUGACGCUCAGGUGCGAAAGCGUGGGGAGCAAACAGGAUUAGAUACCCUGGUAGUCCACGCCGUAAACGAUGUCGACUUGGAGGUUGUGCCCUUGAGGCGUGGCUUCCGGAGCUAACGCGUUAAGUCGACCGCCUGGGGAGUACGGCCGCAAGGUUAAAACUCAAAUGAAUUGACGGGGGCCCGCACAAGCGGUGGAGCAUGUGGUUUAAUUCGAUGCAACGCGAAGAACCUUACCUGGUCUUGACAUCCAGAGAAUCCUGCAGAGAUGCGGGAGUGCCUUCGGGAACUCUGAGACAGGUGCUGCAUGGCUGUCGUCAGCUCGUGUUGUGAAAUGUUGGGUUAAGUCCCGCAACGAGCGCAACCCUUAUCCUUUGUUGCCAGCACGUAAUGGUGGGAACUCAAAGGAGACUGCC